This 556-nucleotide ribosomal RNA is filed under the name uncultured bacterium. RNAcentral's name for it is "partial 16S ribosomal RNA". It matches the Rfam family "Bacterial small subunit ribosomal RNA", at positions 355 to 902 of the family's 1533-position model. The record is from RNAcentral.
UGGGGAAUUUUGGACAAUUGGGCGAAAGCCUGAUCCAGCAAUGCCGCGUGUGUGAAGAAGGCCUUCGGGUUGUAAAGCACUUUUGUCCGGAAAGAAAUCCUUGGCUCUAAUACAGUCGGGGGAUGACGGUACCGGAAGAAUAAGCACCGGCUAACUACGUGCCAGCAGCCGCGGUAAUACGUAGGGUGCAAGCGUUAAUCGGAAUUACUGGGCGUAAAGCGUGCGCAGGCGGUUUGCUAAGACCGAUGUGAAAUCCCCGGGCUCAACCUGGGAACUGCAUUGGUGACUGGCAGGGCUAGAGUAUGGCAGAGGGGGGUAGAAUUCCACGUNUAGCAGUGAAAUGCGUAGAGAUGUGGAGGAAUACCGAUGGCGAAGGCAGCCCCCUGGGCCAAUACUGACGCUCAUGCACGAAAGCGUGGGGAGCAAACAGGAUUAGAUACCCUGGUAGUCCACGCCCUAAACGAUGUCAACUAGUUGUUGGGGAUUCAUUUCCUUAGUAACGUAGCUAACGCGUGAAGUUGACCGCCUGGGGAGUACGGUCGCAAGAUUAAAACUC